CUUUAUAUAGUCUAGCUGUUCUGCCUUCUCAUUGGUUGUAAACCCAGACACGUGACUGCCUCGUCACUGCCUGUAUGUACAGUCCUUCAGGUCCUCUAUGGUAUUGAGAUUAAAGGCGUGCGCCACCACCGCCACGCAAUUGCUAUGGCUCUAAUAGCUCUGACCCCUGGGCAACUUUAUUUAUUAGCAUAUGAUUAAAAUCACAUUUCAGUACAAGUAAAAUACCACCACAUAUUUGUUCUUUGUAAUAUCCUAGUUUUCCUGUAUUUUUUUAGGAAUUUUUUUUUUUAAAUUUUCUUUGACCAAUUUAUCCAUUUCUUCUAUGUUAACUUCAAUGCCUGAGAUUCUUCCAUCUCUUCUAUUCUGUUGGUAAAAUUGCCUGUAUAGUUCCUGUUUGUAUUCCUAAACUUUUCCAAAAUUCCCUUAGUUUGUAUUUUCUUUAUUGCUUCCAUUUCCAUUUUCAGGUUUUCAACAGGUUUUAUUCAUUUCCUUCAACUUUUUUUUUCCUUUUUCUUGAUUUAUUUAAAGGAUUUAUUCAUUUCCUCCAAUUCUUGUGUUUUCUUCACUUUCUUUAAGAGAUUUAUUUAUUUCAUCUUUAAGGACCUCUAUCAUCUUCAUAUAGUUGGUGUUAAGGUCUUUUUCUUGUGCUUCAGCCUAUGUUGGAAUAUUCAGGGCCUGCUGUGCUAGGAUAGCUGGGUUCUGGUGGAAACAUAUUGCCCUGGCUGUUGUUGACUAUGUUCUUAUGCUAUCAUCUAGGCAUCUGGGUUUGGGAUGAUUAAAGGUCUAGGUCUUGAUUUUCUGCAUUUUUAUAAGUUGUGUGGGUGUUAUGUUCCUUGGUUUUUAUUUCCUUUUUGUAUUUUUCUGUCUCUUUCUCUCUCCUUCUCUUUGGUAACAAGAUCAUAGGUCAGUUCCUGAGGAGGCUUGGGUGGGAUUCUGAUUUAAUAAGAUAAAAGCAUGGGUCAUAAGAAGUCUACACUAUAUCUUACUCUAUAUGAGGUUCAUAAUUCUACCCUGGCAAUCCUCAGAAGAGUACUUCUUACAUCUGGGAAAGGAGUAAGUCCAUACUCAAGAGGUUUUAUAUACUUUGGCCUCAAACAUAGCUCAUUGGUAUUUGAGAUAUCACUAAAAAAAGAUUUUCUUUGCCUACAACAUUUUGUUAUUUUGUGUUAUGGUUAAUAUUCAUUUUGACUUGGUAAGAUCUGGAAUCAGUCAAAAGAGACUUCUCCAGGCACACCUGUGAGGGCUUAUCUAGAUCAUGUUAUUCUCUGGGGUGUGCUUAGAUAUGUUAGCUUAUAAAUUAAGUUCAUUGAGAUGAGAAGACUUGUCUCCCUUCCAGAAGUGAUAUCACCAUUCCAUUCCAUGGUCUUGGUACUGAAUUAUGCAAUAAGGACCAACAUUUAUCACUCUCUGCCUCCUGAUUGUGGAUACAGUGUGAUCAGAUUAAUAGCAUAUUAAUACUGUAUAUUGAUUAUAUACAGUAGGUUGAAGGAAUAGAAACUACCCUUGCUUGCUAUCUGGCUAGAGUCUAGACUGUUUGAGAGUUUACUGAGAUUCCUCUGUCUGUGUCUUGACUGUCAAUCCAAGAUUGAAGGUCUCGUGGAGAGCUGAUGAUCCUGUUACAGAUUUGAAACACCUGCAGAAAGGACCUGAGAGGACACUGCUUACAGUGGGCACCUGAAGGUGUGGUAGAGUCUAGAACCAUAGGCUAACCAAGGACAGCUUCAGGCAUGGAAGAGAAAUGACAUGGUAGGAAAUGUGUGUGUGCUAGGGAUGGUAAAGCCUGAAACAUGGAACUUCCCCAGUCCAUGAGAGCCCAAAUCAGAAUAUCAUUAAGAGUCUCAGAAUUUGCAAAAUGUGAUACAGGAAGCUGCUCAAAAAGGGAAGAACAGGAGCAUAGCUUUCUGUUUUGGUUUCCUUAAAUGUGAUUUAUUAUUUGCUGUGCUCCUGUUCUUCCAGUUUUGAAAACAGUGGGCUGUUAUUCAUUUUUUUCACAGAGUAUACAUUUAGGAGACUGUAGCCUUUUUAAAUGUUGGAAUUUUUAAAGACUAUGGGAUUUAAGAAGUUAAUUUUGUAGCUAGAGUUUUAUCCAGUCCUGCCUGGCCCAUGGUCUGGACAAAUCUCUCUCACCCACCAGUCCCGCAGCCACUUAGACCCAACCAAGUAAACACACAGAGACAUAUUGCUUACAAACUGUAUGGCCACAGUAGGCUUCUUGUUAUCUAGUUCUUAUAUCUUAAAUUAACCCAUUUCUAUUAGUCUAUAAGUUGCCAUGUGGCUCAUGGCUUACCAGUACCUUACAUCUCACUUUUCAUGGUGGUGGCUGGGUGGCUGCUAUCUCUCUGCCUCGGUCGUCCACUUCCCGGAAUUCUCUUCUCUGCUUGUCCCACCUAUACUUCCUGCCUGGCUACUGGCCAAUCAGCAUUUUAUUUAUACAGAAUGAUAUCCACGGCACUUAUGUUAUGAUUAACAUGAGACUUUGGGGACCAUGGAUGAAAACAUCUUUUUUGAUAGGGAUGUACCAUAAAAUUAUGAGUCAAAUGAAUAUUUUAUCCCCAAAGUUACUUUGACUCAGAUUAUUUUAUCUAUUUAAUAGAAAUGAAACUACUUCACUACCCUUUUUUCUGCUCAAAAUAAAAAGAACCCAGAUAUUAAUUCAUUGACAUCUACAAGACUUCUUACUGAAACACACUUUUAAUAGUGAUCUUCAACAUACAAGUUUGAGUCCUUUUCUGUGUCACUAAUGUAUAAUUCUUUAUUGCUCUCUAUUACAUCAUCAGCCCUGCAACCAUAUACAUAAAACCAAGAAAAACAGACUCAGCAGUUUGUCUUCAUAUAUUUUAGCAUACUUAUUCAUUCAUCCUUUACCAGGAAGAAUUUGGAAGCAAACUAUUUGAGAAGGGAUGGAGUGAAUAGAAAAAAUGGGAAAGUGGUGUUAUAUUUUUUAAAUAAACUGUAUAGAAAUAAAUUUUAAAUAGAAAGAGGGACUAGAGAGAUGGCUCAGCAAUUAAUAACUCUGAGUGUUUUUAACAGAGGACCCAGGUUCCAUUCCCAGAACCCACAUGGUAGCGAACCAUUUGCUGUAACUCCAGUCCCAGGCAUCUCCUACCUUCUUCUGGACUCUGUAGGUCCUGUGAACAUACACAUUCAGGCAAAAUACCCACAGAACUAAAAUUUAAAACCAAUUUAAAAAAGAAAAGAAAAAAGGAAAGAAUGGAAUUUUCUGUAGUGAUAUCACAGGCCUGAGACAGACAGCAUCCAAGGGUAAUUAAAAUGAACUCCUUGUCCUGCAUAGAAGAAGCUGUGAUCUUCUUCUGAGCCAUCUGCACAGAGGUAAAAGCAACCUUGUUCUGAGCUGAAAAUAGCUCAGCAGAGCUAUCAAACUAAGAGCAGUAGCCAUAGUGCUGAUAGGUAACUUUUCCUUGAUGUUUUCUGUGUUUGCAUUCUCUGUCCUUUGUUUUGUGAGAAUUGAUACAUCUAUCUAUUAGAUGAAACAUCAUGAUUGACAGGCAUCAUAGGCUCCAAAGCAAUCUAAUUUCAUUGUGCCAUUUCCUUGAUUUUCAGCUUAGACCUUGUGGUAUAAGAUGAACAUGCCAGAGAGAUUUCUUUCCAUCAUUUUUAUAACUUAUAUAUGUUCCUGCAUGACUUUGAGGCGAGAAUGUCCCUAAAUGUCACUCCUUUUAGAUUGUGAUCAUGUUCAGACAUGGAUUUGUUAACUGAGCAUGCCUAAGAAGUGGGAGAAUGCUACAUGAACAUGUCCAGACUCCCUAAGUAAAAUCCCCAUGCUUCCUCUGUUUUGGAAAAACAUUGGUUUGGAAAUAACUCCUAUGCUCUCCUUGCCUCCUGCAGGCAAGAAAUUUUUCUCAUUUCUUCCAUCUUGACUGUUGUGAUGGCUAUUCUUGGUAGUCAAAGUAACUACCUCUGAAAUUAACCAAUAUACAAAGAAAUGGGUAUACCUGGGAAGGAUUUUACUUAAUUAAAGGUUUUAAAAUGGGAAAAUCCUUCAUUAAUCUUGAACUUUUGAGGUAAUAAAAUCUACCUGUAAUCUUGUCAGACCUUCUGGUGGCAGACUACAUAUAUAAAAGAAAUUGAAGACGGAAGCUCUUUCUCUUUGAAUGAUUGCCUUGUCUGUGGCUGGGAAGGUUAUUUCUUUAUUAUCUUUAGAGCCUAGAUCUUAGGAAUUCUGGUAUAUACUGAAGACCAUCUGAGACAUCCAGCCUCAUGGAUUAAAGAACUAUUGAAUUCUUCAACUUUUCAUUGGUAAACAACCAAUGCUGGACUAGCUGGACUACACUCUGAGAUAUUCUAAUAAAUCCACUUACUAAAUACAUACAGAGAUUUAUUUUAUCAGUUCUAUUCAAGCAGAGAACCUUGAUUAAUACUGCUGUUUUUUCAGCUGCCCAUUGAGUAACACAUGCUAGCUAACUAUAGUGACCAUAAAAGCAUUUUUCCUUGUUCAGUCUCUAAGUAUUCAACUUAUUGUGAUUACUACACUUUUUAUUAUUAUUAUUAUUAAAUAAUUAUUAAAAUAAUUAUUAUUAUUAUUUUAUUAUUAUUAAAAUUUCAAGUGAUUGAAAUGCAUUUCAGAAGAAAACUCCUAAAGCAAUGGAGCCAUCAUCCAGCCUUCUGAUGGGAGAAAGACCUAUCAUCUUGUUUGUGAUCUAGUUCCUGCUUUUCUCUUCUGGUUGUCUGAAGUCCCUGGGACAACCAGAUAAAAAGUACCUUGAGUUCACCUGACCUCAGCAUGGAGCCACAGAGCAAACAUCUCCUUUUUUGUCCUAAAAUCUCUCUUAAUUGCUAAUAUUUUGGACACCCUUCUGUUGUUCAAAUGUUAAAUGUUCUUAUAAUAAAAAUCCCUGAGCCAGAUAUUGGGGUGAAAGCUGAAAGAUCAGAGAAGCAAAGUAAGCCACUGCCAUGUCUUUCUUGAGUCCUCACUCAAAAGGGUCUCAGUUGAACUGGCCCCAGCAAGAGCCCUGCACCACUUCUGACUGACAGACUGGAGGCCCUGGUUGGCUCCUGAAGACUGAGUGACAAGAGAAAGUCCCUUAGGGCUACCCUGUGCUUAAAGACAAUAGCACAGUGAUUCCUUGGCCCUGCCUCCCACUCCAGACCCAGACUUUUCCAAAUUUACACAGGUAAGCAUUUCAAUAGUACUUGCCUUGGCUCCAUGGAAGAUGGCUGACCCUGCUAUCUUCCUGCACUCCAUAGGCACUUUCCAUUCUUCCUCUUGCACAGCCCAUUACACAAUGUGGAAUAGAAUGAUUCCCCUCUCCCCCAGGUGGAGGGCUAUAAUGAUAAUAGUGUGUACCCUAAUAAAGCUUGCCUGAGUAUCAGAGGACAGAGCAAGCCACUAGAUUAGACACAGAUUAAAUUAGAGGUCAGGCAAUGGUGGUACACACUUUUAAUUCUAAAACUCAGGAGGCAGAGAUCCAUCUGGACAGCUGUGAGUUUCAGGUGGCAGUCAAUUGCUGAAACAGGCAGGGAUUUUCAAGGAAUUUAUCAUCAUUAUAAAGAAGGCCCUUGCUAUAGAAUGGAAGCAUUACAAGGUGCCCCAAUUUAUGGAAGGAGUAAGCAAAGUGAUUUCAAGUCCCAGGAAGCAACUUCAUACAAAAUCUGCUGCUCCUGUGGUCCAAGUAUGUUAAUGUCCAUCCCAAUUAAGAAAUCAAACUUUGCAGGAUCACCCUUCAUGGGCUAGUCCUGGAAACAAGAAAAUCAAAUUUUAAGGUCAAGAUUUUUACUCUGUGGUUGCAGUUCAGGAUUGUUGCAAGCAUCUGUGUUUGGCAGAGUCAGAAACCCAGUGAGAAGACUGUAAGAGUUCAUUGCAUGAUGCUUGGUGUUAUUGGUUUUUUUUUUUUUUUAACUCUUUACUCUUGGUGUCCUGCUACUCAGCUUUCAACACUCACACACACAGAGGCUUAUUCUUUCUUACAAAUGCCCAGCCUUAGUUUGGGUUGUUUCUAGCCAGAUUUUCUUAAAUUAUCCCAUCUACCUUAUGCCUCUGGGCUUUUAUCUUUCUCUAUUCUAUAUGCCUCUGGUCUUUUAUCUUUCUCUAUUCUGAUUAUACCUUUCUUUACUUCUUACUCCAUGGCUUGCUAUGUAGCUAGGUGGCUAGCCCCUGGUGUCCUCUCAUUUUCUUGCUCCUCCUUCCUUUUUUUUCUUUCCAGAUUUUUCUUCACAUUUAUUCUGUCUGCCAGCCCUGCCUUUCCUUUCUUGCAAAGCUAUUGCCCAUUCAAGUCUUUAUUAGAUCAAUCAGAUAUUUUAAACAGGCAAAGUAUCACAGUCUUACAGAGUUAAACAAGUGCAACACAACAGAAUGCAACACAUCUUUGCAUCGUUAAAACAAAUGUUCAACAUAAACAGAUAUAACACAUUUUAAAAUAAUAUUCCACAACAGCCUGGGUAGCAUUUUGAGACCACAAGAUGUUGAGAUAUCUAAGAUAUGAGACAUUUUACAUGGAGACUGAACUGCAUAUAGGGAGUGAAAGUAACCAAAAAGAGAGAUGUAUGAGAAGUUGCAGGAAUAGGGCCAUCUAAGCCCUUUGAAACUGAAGCCCUAUGUGUCUGAGACAGAGAUAAAGAAUUUGAUGUUUGUCCUGCUGUGCUUCAGUCUUGCCUUGGUCCAAUCUUCCCUCACUAUGUCUCCAUUUCUCUCAUUUGGAAUGGUAAUGGUAUUCCAAUAUCUAUUGUAUGUUGGAAAGAUGUAACUUGAUUUAUGAGUUUACAAGAUGGCACUGUCAAGAGAUGGUCUUGAGUAUCAGAAGAGACUUUGGACAUUUGAACAGCUCAGGGGCUGUUGCAGAUUAUGAGGAUCAUUGAAGUGACUAAAUGCAUUUUCUUUGUGGAUGACCAUGAGCCUAUAGUGACCUGUGUCAGAAUGAAUGAAAACCUCCCAGAUAGAAUGAUAUAUUUGAACAUGUGUAUCUCCUUGGUGACUUUCUUUAAAUUGCUUGUGAAACCUGUAGUAGGAGGGGCCUUUCUGGAUGAAAUUCCUCAUUGGGAAUAGGAUAGUCUCAACCCAUUUACUGUAGUUUGUAUCUACUGUGUUGUGGUUGAAACUAAUCAGCCAGCUUCCUUGUACUGUUAUGCCUUUACUACCAUUAUAGACUCUAUCUCUAAAUCACAUAAAAUACAGUAGAAGCAAUUACUAUUGCAGGCUAAGGCAGUUUGGUAGCCUGCUGUUUUUGUUUGUUUGUUUGUUUGUUUGUUUUUGAAGACAAGGUUUGUCUUUAUAGCCCUGGCUGUCGUGAAAGUAGCUCUGUGCACCAGGCUGGGCUUGUACUCAGAGAUCCCCCUGACUCUGGCUCCUAAAUCCUGGGAUUAAAGGUGGGCCAACAUUCUUGGCUUUUUUUGAUUUUAUAUUAUUGGGUGAUGGGCCUGUGGUGUAGGUUUUUGUACACAUCAAGCAUAUGCUGGUGUACUAAGCUUUACUCAUAUCUUGAAUUUAAAAAUUUGGCAGAGGUUAUCAUUCUACUUCCCAGGAUGGCAUGUAUUCACGACAUUAAUACUGCCUGAGCCUUCUGAGUCAUUGGAUUGUAGGUGCAUGACCUUCUUCCUGCCUGUUGUGUUUGUUUUGAAUUUUUUAAAUGAAUAUCAGUAUUUUACUUGUAUGCAUGGGUAUGCACCAUGUGGGUGAUCACCUCAUAGUGUUCAAAAGAUGGUCUCAGAAACCCUGAACUUGGAAUAAUGAAUAGUUCUGAUGCCCAUGUAAGUACUGGCAAUUGAGCCUACCUAUAUGCAAGACCAGCAAGAGCUCUUUACUACUGAGCCAUCUCUCCUGCCCUGUGUUGAUUAUAUAUGAUCAACAUUUAUAUCGUUUAUGUUUUCAUCUGUCCAUUUGUAACUGUUUAAAAAUGUAAAAUCUUUUAGUAAUAAUAUUUUAGUAAAUAAUCUUUUAGUAAAAUCUUAUUGAUGUUAUAGUAUAAAUUAGGGCACUUCAGGUUUCUGGAAGGUGAAUACAGAACUGGAAUGAAUGCAUAACUCUUUGUAGGCACUUCAGUAAAAACCUCUGAGUUCUUUCUAUCAUUUUUGUUAGUUUGACUGAUUUUUUUUUGAGACAGGGUUUCUCUGUGUAGCUUUGCGUCUUUCCAGGAACUCACUUUGUAGACCAGGAUGGCUUCGAACUCACAGAGAUCUGCCUGCUUCUGCCUCCCGAGUCCUGGGAUUAAAGGCAUGCACCACCACCACCUGGCAAGAUUGACUAAUUUUUUUACAUGGGAGACAGGGUGUCAAUAUGUACUUCUGGCUGUCCUGGACUUGAUUGCAUAGACUAGGUUGGCAUUCCACUCAGAGGCAGAUAUACUUGCCUCUUCCUUCUGAGUGCUGGGGUUAAAGGUGUGAGCCAGUUUAUCUAUCUUAUUUUUCUUCUCUGUAGUUAGUAACUGCUCAUACAAUUUCUCUCAUGUGUACUCUGUACUGUUGAUCUGUUUAUUUGUCUCUCUGUGUUUGUUAAUAGGCAUUUCUCUUGUAAGGUGAUAUUCCACUCAAACGGUACAGAAAUGACAGAGAUGACCCUCCUAUCAAGUUUUCUUCAAAAUGACUUAGUGGUUACAUUAUAAUGUAUAUGUCAUGGAAUAAGUGUGGGGAGCACAAGAAUUAUAUGACUAUGCUAUGUUGUCAGUAUCAUGCCUUCUGUUGUACACAUGUAUGGGAUGUUUUAGAAUGCAGUGACCUAUGAUGAUGUGCAUAUUGACUUCACUUGGGAAGAGUGGACUUUGCUGGAUCCUUCCCAGAAGAAUCUCUACAAAGAUGUGAUGUUGGAGACUUCCAGGAACCUCACUACUAUAGGAUACAGUUUGGAAGACUAUAAUAUCAAAGAACAUCAUCACAGUUCUAGGAGAUAUGAAAGCAGAUCAAAACUUCCUCAUGGAGUGGAGCAGAGAAACAAUGGGCACCUCUGAUGAGAAACUGCCUUUUUGAAGCAGUGCAGAAGUAACAACUUUUUGCAUGGAACUGGAACAGACUGCUACAUUUCUACAGUGCUUUCCCUCUCAGUUGAGUGAGGCAGAGAAGUAACAAUUUGGGAUGGAUCUGAGGAGAAAUGGACAUCUGUGCUGGGAAACUCCAUAGUACAGCAGAGCAGAGCAGAAAAACAAUGAACACCUCUGCUGGGAAACUCCCAUAGGGGAGUGGAGCAGAGCCCGGCUGUAAUGGCUUUCUCUCAAAGAGGAGCAAGAUUCCUUCAUCCUGCUGUGAGAUCAUCCUCAGGUGGAACACAGCUUUGGGUAUAGUCUGACUUCCUGACAGUUGUGAUUCCUUUCUCCUCACUGCUGAUAAAGAUACCUUCACCCAUACCCAGCAGGAAGCAAUUUGAAGAAUACGACGCCCACAUUCCCAAAGAGACAUGUCGACUCCUGGCAGUACCAAUCUACUUCAGAGAAAAUAUGGUCAUUGAAGAAACUGCAUAUGGAGUUAACUUUCAUUGUGGUAAAAGUUAGCCACUGGACAACAAAGUAUCCUCGAAUCAAGAGGACAAAAUGGACAGACAGGACAUGAAACAAAGGACUACCGAUUCUUGCUGAAACAAGUGUGGUUAUGGCUUUAUCAAAAGGCAUCUUCUGAGGCCAGUAUAAUAUGGCACCAUCCCUGAAGUGGCCUUCACAAUCCAGAAAAGGUACAGUGCCCUUUUCUUCUAAGGCAGCUGAACAGUCAGUGGGCCAAUGGCUUCUGAUGUGCAAUGGAACAGCAGCUAAAACAGUUAUUCUUGAAGAGUAACUAAGCUCACGCCUCUCAAUAGUAGACUGGCAUUUAGUAGAGGGAUGUGGAGAAGAAUGGGAUGCUGAGAUAAAGCCACAUAUAUACACAGCCAAAAAGAAUGGACAGCUGAACUCAAAAACCAUCAACAAUUUCCAGAAUUUAAAAUCCUGAAUCAUGACAUGACACUAGUGGAAUUCAGGUGUUUCUGGUAUAUGGACUGCCCUCACCCAAUGUGAGGUUGAACUGUUGACCUUGUGUACAUCCUACUUCACAAAUGAGUCUGUCAGAUAUGCUAAGCCUAUAGGCUGAAGAUGAUACCCCAACACUGUGGAGAAACCUCAGGUGACUGUCCAGGCAACUGGCUGUUUCUGUCAACUCACAAAUUUUUUGGAAGUUGCUUGCAUGCACUUCCUGUUUUUAUUUUUGUUAGCUAAUAUUAUUUCCUUCUUGGUUCCUGAGGGAGUUGAAGAUUAGUUAGUUAUAGUUGAAGAUUAGUUAGUUAUAAUUGAAGACUAGUUAGGAUAGAAAGUGAAUUAGAUACAUUUUGGACUUACCAAAAUAGGAUAGAUAAUGGAAUUAUUUUCUCUGAAUUUGUGAAAUACAAAUGGACUAGACAUUUUUUAGGUAUUUAUUACUUGUAUAUAUUGUAUGUAGUUAUUGUACUUUUAUAUAUAGUUUUUCUUAUGUUAGUUAUAACCUUUUUCCUUUUUUCUUUUUAUUAAAAUAGAAAAGGGGAAAUAUGGUGGUAUUUUAUUUGUACUGAAAUGUGAUUUUAAUUGUAUGUUAAUAAAUAAAAUUGUCUGGGGAUCAGAGCUAUUAGAGCCAUAGCAAAAGCUGGGUGUUGGUGGUGCAAGCCUUUAAUCCCAGCACUUGGUAGGCAGAGCUAGGUAGAUCUCCGUGUGUUCAAGGAUACAGUCAACAGACAGUGACGAGGCAGUCAUGUGGUUGGGUUUACAACCAAUGAGAAGGCAGAACAGAAAGUCUAUAUAAAGACAAACAGACAGGAAGUAGGUCUCUUUCAGAGAGGUCUCUUGGCUGAAGAGACUAGCUGCAGCAUGCGGGUAAGGCUCUUAGCUCUGAUCUCUUGGUUUCUUCUUUGCAUUGGUUCUGUGUUUCUUAUUUAAUAAGACGGUUGGUUACAUCUACACCAUUCAUUCAAGAAUUAGGAAAAAUGCAAACAAAUCUAACAGGAACCCACUAGAAGGCAAGUAAUAACAAUCAAAGAUGAAAUAUAAAAUACAGAGAAAUUUUUUGAUGAAAUCCCUCAUCAUGACUGCCUUCAUGAUCAAAAUCAUACAGCCAAUAGGACUAGAGAGAACAUGUGUCUAUCAAACAAAAGCUAGAGUCUUAAAUCAUCAUUAAAAAUGAGAAUCUUAUAGCCAACACCAUCCUAAAUUGAGGAAAACUUGAAGCAAUUCAGAGGAGAUAGGUACCCAGUGAACUCCUGCUGUUCUCCACACCUAUCUAAGGGUAAAUUUUGUCUGAGUGUCUUAGAGGAUUUAGGAACACCUAAAACACUGUUCCCCCUUUUUUUCCCACUCAUCAGAGGACAUAUGGAUAUUUGAAAGGAUUUAUUUUUGUUUCAUGUAACUAGGCUGCUCCUCAGACAUACCUCUGAAAUACUGAAAUGGACUAGCCUGUUUCCAUUCCCUCCUGUCUUUCAUGUCUCUGUCUACUAACCACAUGUCAUGCCCCACUACCCACAUGGCAGCCAAUCAGCAGGUGACAGCCAUCCAUAACUCUAGUUUCAGCUGAUCCACCCCUUUCUUCUGGCUUCCAAAGGCACCAGGCAAUUACAUGGUUUGUAGACAGGCAGGCAGGCAAAACAUCCACACACAAACAAAUCCCUUCUCUACUCAAACAAGACAACACACACACACACACACACACACACACACACACACACACACACACACACACUUUCCUUUUUGUUUAACCUAUAAUGUCCAAUUUGUUUUGCCCAUAUAUUGAUGGAUGUGUGGCCUUUGACUUCAGGAUGGUCAACAUGCUAGGUGCAUCAUUAAUCAUUCCCUUCUAGACUGUGAUUGCAAAACACAAUAGUCUAGCUUUAGUUUGAUAUUUAAUAUGUACAAUGUUAUACCUUUUUUCAGAUUGUAAGAAUAAUGAUGGUAUUUUACUUCACAUAAUUAUAUAUGGGUCUAGGUCAUUCUGGGUACACCAAGGUACUUCACAAUUGAUAGAAUUAUAUCUGAUAGACAGUUCAUAUUCCUUAUGAGAUAUCUAAGUAUAGUUGCUUUUCCAAUAAACAUGAUGGCAUAAUAAAGCCCUUGGGUUAGGAUUUGGAAUGAAUAGGUAUUUCUUCAUUCCUCCUCAGUGACAGUGACACACAGCACUUUGGUGGUUAAAUCCAAUGACACAGAUGUGAUGCUUGCCAAUGGUCUCAUGAACCUUUCUGAUUUAAAAUAAUAUGAAAAUUUAUUUAAAAAUUAUAUGUACCCCAAAGUAUGGUUUGUACAUACCUGAAAAGAGACUUAUUGUCAAGUAAUGCUGAUGAUUCAAAACAAAUGUUAAAUAUUUUCUUAUAUAAAAAAGCUGAAUAAGCAUGUUUGUAGCCACCUAAAAUUAGAUAUACUUACAGAAUGUUACACUCAGUUUUCUAAUUUUUCAUUUUUUUCAAAAAAUCUCAAAUGUAUGAAGUUGGUACUACUUAUAGAAAAUAUAACACAAAUGGAAGGAUACCUGAGACUGAGAAGAAAUAAUUGAACUGCAUUAGAUAGUGUGAAUGUAUUUUGUCAUUUACUUUAAUUUAGUUAUAGUGUUUAUGUAUGUGUAAAGUAGAGAUUGCCCAAAUAAAAAAAUAAAUAAAUAGUUUUUACCAUAUUUUCAGAAUUAAUUGUAAAUGGCAGUCAUUACUAUCCUGGAAAUAAGAAUACACUUACAAGAAGUAAGUUAAAGACAUUGAAUUUAACAUUUUAGUUCAUUGGAAAUUUGCUAAUAAAGAACAAUUGUUACUAUGA
Molecule: long non-coding RNA, 12668 nt
Organism: Peromyscus californicus insignis
Lineage: Eukaryota; Metazoa; Chordata; Mammalia; Rodentia; Cricetidae
Exons: 5
Source: RefSeq, a predicted model, not a curated record